RNAcentral lists this long non-coding RNA (557 nucleotides) under Homo sapiens (human). RNAcentral describes it as "non-protein coding lnc-EVL-6:10". The record is from RNAcentral. Lineage: Eukaryota; Metazoa; Chordata; Mammalia; Primates; Hominidae.
GACAGAGGACAGCCAGAAGCCCAGCCAGCCCCAGACUCCAGUGCACCAGAGCACGCACAGGAGCCUGGGCGCGCUGCUGUGAAACGUCCUGACCUGUGAUCACACAUGACAGUGAGGAAACCAAGUGCAACUCCUGGGUUUUUUUAGAUUCUGCCUGACACGGAACACCAGGUCUGCUCGUCUUUUUUGUGUUUUAUAUUUGCUUAUUUAAGGUACAUUUCUUUGGGUUUCUAGAGACGCCCCUAAGUCACCUGCUUCAUUAGACGGUUUCCAGGUUUUCUCCCAGGUGACGCUGUUAGCGCCUCAGCUGGCGGUGACAGCCGGCCCAGCGUGGCGCCACCACACACCGCAGAGCUGUCCAGGCACAGCUCCGUCCCCAGCGCUCAUGGUGUUGAAACUGUCUGUCAUGCACCACGGUGUCUGUGUCCACACAGUAAUAAACGGUUUACUGUCCGCACCCUCGGGCUCAGGCCCUCGCAUUGGUCCAUCACGCUCCGGGCUGGGGAUGCCCCUUUUCAGAGAAGGGCCCGGGACCACGGUGACCAGGAGUCGUAGGA